Molecule: unclassified non-coding RNA, 241 nt
Filed under: uncultured Helotiales
Lineage: Eukaryota; Fungi; Ascomycota; Leotiomycetes; Helotiales
Description: sequence contains ITS2
Source: RNAcentral
AACGCACAUUGCGCCCCUUGGUAUUCCAUGGGGCAUGCCUAUUCGAGCGUCAUUAUCACCCCUCAAGCUUCGGCUUGGUGUUGAGGCCUGCUGUAAAGGCACCCUCUAAAAUCAGUGGCAGUGCUGUCAGGCUCUAAGCGUAGUAAUUUCAUCGCUAUAGGGUCCUGGUGGAUACUCGUCAAAACCCCCCCAUUUUUUAAUGAUUGACCUCGGAUUAGGUAGGGAUACCCGCUGAACUUAA